Molecule: long non-coding RNA, 246 nt
Filed under: Elaeis guineensis (African oil palm)
Lineage: Eukaryota; Viridiplantae; Streptophyta; Magnoliopsida; Arecales; Arecaceae
Description: long non-coding RNA (EGUI_LNC049587)
Source: RNAcentral
UGUUAUAAAAUCCUCAUAGUUGUAAAUUAACUUUAAAUUUUUAGAAACUCAAUUCACACCCCCCCUCUCUUGGGUUGCAUAGCUGGGCAACAAGAGCCUGAAUAGAUUAGGCUGAACCCUAUCUAAUAGAAAAUUCAAUUCAAGAGAAACUUAAGUCUAAUCAUGUGCUAGCAUGAUUUUCUUAGACCCAAUUGGACCCAAUUGAGUCCAAUUAAGCAAUUCCAAACUAAAAUCUUUUAAUGUAUG